This 66-nucleotide transfer RNA is filed under the name uncultured Butyrivibrio sp. It matches the Rfam family "tRNA", at positions 5 to 66 of the family's 71-position model. From Rfam's summary of the family: Transfer RNA (tRNA) molecules are approximately 80 nucleotides in length. Their secondary structure includes four short double-helical elements and three loops (D, anti-codon, and T loops). Lineage: Bacteria; Bacillati; Bacillota; Clostridia; Lachnospirales; Lachnospiraceae. The record is from RNAcentral.
CCGGUGGCUCAGUUGGUUAGAGCGCUGCCCUGUCACGGCAGAGGUCAAGGGUUCGAACCCCUUUCG